GUAGCGUGAAGGAUGAAGGUUUAUGGAUUGUAAACUUCUUUUAUACGGGAAUAACGGAUCCACGUGUGGAUUUUUGCAUGUACCGUAUGAAUAAGGAUCGGCUAACUCCGUGCCAGCAGCCGCGGUAAUACGGAGGAUCCGAGCGUUAUCCGGAUUUAUUGGGUUUAAAGGGAGCGUAGAUGGGUUGUUAAGUCAGUUGUGAAAGUUUGCGGCUCAACCGUAAAAUUGCAAUUGAUACUGGCAGUCUUGAGUACAGUUGAGGUAGGCGGAAUU
RNAcentral lists this ribosomal RNA (273 nucleotides) under uncultured bacterium. RNAcentral's name for it is "partial 16S ribosomal RNA". It matches the Rfam family "Bacterial small subunit ribosomal RNA", at positions 396 to 668 of the family's 1533-position model. The record is from RNAcentral.